GUCUUAAUUGGGCGUUAAGUUGCAGGGUAUAGACCCGAAACCCGGUGAUCUAGCCAUGGGCAGGUUGAAGGUUGGGUAACACUAACUGGAGGACCGAACCGACUAAUGUUGAAAAAUUAGCGGAUGACCUGUGGCUGGGGGUGAAAGGCCAAUCAAACCGGGAGAUAGCUGGUUCUCCCCGAAAGCUAUUUAGGUAGCGCCUCGUGAAUUCAUCUCCGGGGGUAGAGCACUGUUUCGGCUAGGGGGCCAUCCCGGCUUACCAACCCGAUGCAAACUGCGAAUACCGGAGAAUGUUAUCACGGGAGACACACGGCGGGUGCUAACGUCCGUCGUGAAGAGGGAAACAACCCAGACCGCCAGCUAAGGUCCCAAAGUCAUGGUUAAGUGGGAAACGAUGUGGGAAGGCCCAGACAGCCAGGAUGUUGGCUUAGAAGCAGCCAUCAUUUAAAGAAAGCGUAAUAGCUCACUGGUCGAGUCGGCCUGCGCGGAAGAUGUAACGGGGCUAAACCAUGCACCGAAGCUGCGGCAGCGACGCUUAUGCGUUGUUGGGUAGGGGAGCGUUCUGUAAGCCUGCGAAGGUGGCCUGUGAGGGUUGCUGGAGGUAUCAGAAGUGCGAAUGCUGACAUAAGUAACGAUAAAGCGGGUGAAAAGCCCGCUCGCCGGAAGACCAAGGGUUCCUGUCCAACGUUAAUCGGGGCAGGGUGAGUCGACCCCUAAGGCGAGGCCGAAAGGCGUAGUCGAUGGGAAACGGGUUAAUAUUCCCGUACUUGGUGUUACUGCGAAGGGGGGACGGAGAAGGCUAUGUUGGCCGGGCGACGGUUGUCCCGGUUUAAGCGUGUAGGUGUGUGUUCCAGGUAAAUCCGGUUCACUUUAACACUGAGGCGUGACGACGAGGCACUACGGUGCUGAAGCAACAAAUGCCCUGCUUCCAGGAAAAGCCUCUAAGCAUCAGGUAACAUCAAAUCGUACCCCAAACCGACACAGGUGGUCAGGUAGAGAAUACCAAGGCGCUUGAGAGAACUCGGGUGAAGGAACUAGGCAAAAUGGUGCCGUAACUUCGGGAGAAGGCACGCUGACACGUAGGUGAAGUGAUUUACUCACGGAGCUGAAGUCAGUCGAAGAUACCAGCUGGCUGCAACUGUUUAUUAAAAACACAGCACUGUGCAAACACGAAAGUGGACGUAUACGGUGUGACGCCUGCCCGGUGCCGGAAGGUUAAUUGAUGGGGUCAGCGCAAGCGAAGCUCCUGAUCGAAGCCCCGGUAAACGGCGGCCGUAACUAUAACGGUCCUAAGGUAGCGAAAUUCCUUGUCGGGUAAGUUCCGACCUGCACGAAUGGCGUAAUGAUGGCCAGGCUGUCUCCACCCGAGACUCAGUGAAAUUGAACUCGCUGUGAAGAUGCAGUGUACCCGCGGCAAGACGGAAAGACCCCGUGAACCUUUACUAUAGCUUGACACUGAACAUUGAGCCUUGAUGUGUAGGAUAGGUGGGAGGCUUUGAAGUGUGGACGCCAGUCUGC
RNAcentral lists this ribosomal RNA (1518 nucleotides) under Salmonella enterica subsp. enterica serovar Braenderup. Its description in RNAcentral is "partial 23S ribosomal RNA". It matches the Rfam family "Bacterial large subunit ribosomal RNA", at positions 681 to 2179 of the family's 2925-position model. The record is from RNAcentral. Lineage: Bacteria; Pseudomonadati; Pseudomonadota; Gammaproteobacteria; Enterobacterales; Enterobacteriaceae.